UGGGGAAUAUUGGGCAAUGGGCGCAAGCCUGACCCAGCAACGCCGCGUGGAGGAAGAAGGCUUUCGGGUUGUAAACUUCUUUUCUGAGGGACGAAGAAAGUGACGGUACCUCAGGAAUAAGCCACGGUUAACUACGUGCCAGCAGCCGCGGUAAUACGUAGGUGGCAAGCGUUAUCCGGAUUUAUUGGGUGUAAAGGGCGUGUAGGCGGGAAUGCAAGUCAGAUGUGAAAACUAUGGGCUCAACCCAUAGCCUGCAUUUGAAACUGUAUUUCUUGAGUGCUGGAGAGGCAAUCGGAAUUCCGUGUGUAGCGGUGAAAUGCGUAGAUAUACGGAGGAACACCAGUGGCGAAGGCGGAUUGCUGGACAGUAACUGACGCUGAGGCGCGAAAGCGUGGGGAGCAAACAGGAUUAGAUACCC
RNAcentral lists this ribosomal RNA (418 nucleotides) under uncultured bacterium. RNAcentral describes it as "bacterial SSU rRNA". It matches the Rfam family "Bacterial small subunit ribosomal RNA", at positions 355 to 787 of the family's 1533-position model. The record is from RNAcentral.